GACUCCGAAUUGACAGAGACAUGAUCCUCAUAUUUGGAAAACACUAGCUUCUCUCUCUGCAAAAAUGAUUUCUAAGAGAUUAUUUUUGCUAUACUGAUUGAUUGUGGUAUGGAGCCACACAUGCAAAGCUAUUUAUUUGAUGUGUCCCAAUUUGUACCGGCUGGGGUAGAGUGUGGGAAAAUACAGAAUUUUUCACAAUGUAUCGAAAUAAUGUAUUGUAAAGACAUUGUGCUUCUACACCUGCAUUGUUUGCUGUUUGGGGUUUUAGGCUGGGUUUCUGUACAGCACUUUGAGAUAUCAGCUGAUGUAAGAAGGGCUUUAUAAAUACAUUUGAUUUGAUUUGUGUAGUUUCACGCACUACAAAGGGUAAAGAGUGCGAGAAAAGUUGGAGACAGGCAGAUGGGCAGGGAGACAGACAGACAGACAGGUUCUUGGUACUAUGUUGAAACAGCAGGCCCAGGGAGGAGGAAGACAAGAGUGAAGUCCCACAGCAAACCUUUUUGUUUAAUUUUGAUGUGUUUGUACCUACACACCCACCUUUCCACACUUUUAUUACACUUGGAUAAACACAUAUGUAAUAUAAAUGUGUAGGGGGGUGUGCACUCAAUGAAAAUGUAAUCUUUUACAUGUUCGUCACAGAAAAUGAGCCAAGGCCAAUGGUUAAAUUUAUUUUUUAUUGUAUAAUAAAUAUUUUAGUAAACAUUGAAAAUGUAACCACACAAGGGUUAAGUAGUAAUCAAAAAUGUGAGGAUAAUCAUUUAUCCAUUGCAUCUGGGUUGGAUCUGAAAAAGUGUGUCUUCUCAUUUCAGAUCGGACGUGAUUACUUUCAAAUAGUUUACAAAUUAAAAAAAUUGCUAUAAAUGCCAUAAGCAAUUUAUUUAUUAAAGUAUUUAUGUUAAGUUCUUUAUGAAUUAGAGAUAUUCUUGCAAUUCUGUUUUCUGAGUGUGGAUUUCCCUUUCUUCCAGAUUGAGGAGUUGUCCCAACAAGCUCAGCUGGCAGCGGCAGAGAAGUUCAAGGUCCAGGGAGAAGACAGAACGUCCAGCAUCCAGGAGAACACACAGAAGCCCACAGUAUACAAGAGGAGAGCAGAGAGGAAGAGGUUGAUGAGACAGCCGUGAAGGACAUUGAACUGGUGAUGUCACAAGCCAAUGUGUCUCGACUGAAGGCUAUAUGAGCGCUCAAAAGCAACAAUGACAUCGUCAAUGCCAUCAUGGAGCUGACCAUGUAAACACCUAACAACCAUGAGGACCAGGUCCAGUCCAACCUUUUAAUAGACGUUGUCUGAAUUUAUUUCAAGGCUAGAAAUAAAGUUGUUGAAUAAGGAGCCAGCAGCAUACCACCCUGCAUACCACUGUUGGCUUGCUUCUGAAGCUAAACAGGGUUGGUCCUGGUCAGUUCCUGGAUUGGA
Molecule: long non-coding RNA, 1408 nt
Organism: Oncorhynchus kisutch (coho salmon)
Lineage: Eukaryota; Metazoa; Chordata; Actinopteri; Salmoniformes; Salmonidae
Exons: 3
Source: RefSeq, a predicted model, not a curated record